Molecule: ribosomal RNA, 492 nt
Filed under: uncultured bacterium
Lineage: Bacteria
Description: partial 16S ribosomal RNA
Rfam family: Bacterial small subunit ribosomal RNA
Source: RNAcentral
AGUGAACGCUGGCGGCAGGCCUAACACAUGCAAGUCGAACGGCAGCACAGUACUAGCUCGCGGUUUCGGGGGGGGAGGGGCGAGCGGUUCAUGAGUACCUCGGAGUCUAUUUUUUCGAGGGUGAUAACGUGGGGACUCAUACCCCAAUCCUGCAGACGGCGUACGGGUGGGAGCAUCGGAUCUUCGGAUAUUAGGCGAGCCUAUGAGCCGAUGUCGGAUUAGCUAGUUGGAGGGGUAAAGGCCCACCAAGGCGACGAUCCGUAACUGGUCUGAGAGGAUGAUCAGCCACACUGGAACUGAGACACGGUCCAGACUCCUACGGGAGGCAGCAGUGGGGAAUAUUGGACAAUGGGCGCAAGCCUGAUCCAGCCAUACCGCGUGUGUGAAGAAGGCCUUCGGAUUGUAAAGCCCUUUUAUUGGGGAGGAAAAGCAGUAAGUUAAUACCUCGCUGUUUUGACGGUACCAAAAGAAUAAGCACCGGCUAACUUCGUG